ACACGCAUGACACACUGCAUAUCAAUAAGCGGAGGAAAAGAAACUAACAAGGAUUCCCCUAGUAACGGCGAGUGAAGCGGGAAGAGCUCAAAUUUGAAAUCUUCAAGGUUUCUACCUUGACGAAUUGUAGUUUAUAAGAAGUGUUUUCGGUUAGAUGGAGUAGUCAAAAGUUCUUUGGAAUAGGACAUCAUAGAGGGUGAGAAUCCCGUAUUUGGUCAUUCUCUUCCUAGCUUUGUGAUACACUUUCAACGAGUCGGAUUGUUUGGGAAUGCAGUCCAAAAUGGGUGGUAAAUUUCAUCUAAAGCUAAAUAUUGGCGAGAGACCGAUAGCGAACAAGUACCGUGAGGGAAAGAUGAAAAGAACUUUGAAAAGAGAGUUAAACAGUACGUGAAAUUGUCAAAAGGGAAGCGUUUGACACCAGUGUUGUUUUUCCGAAAAUCAAUUACGAAUGUUUUGUUUUUGAGGAGUUAUGACUUCAUCGGCUUGCUCCUUUCUUUACGAAACUUUCUUAAUGCACUUUUCGGUUAACAAGUCAACAUCAAUUUCUUUUGUUGUAAAAGGGUAUGAGGAAGGUGGCUUUCUUUUCGGAGAAAGUGUUUAUAGCCUUGUGCCUCUGCAAUCGGAGAGAUUGAGGUCUGCAGCGUAGAUCCUUCGGGGUUAGAUACGUUUGUGCUAAGUUAUAGCUUUUCAUAGACAACUUGUUGACUAUGUUUAGUCUUGUAGCUUACUCGCUGACGCUAUUUUACCUACGCUUAGGAUGUUGAUCUACAGAGCGAGAGU
RNAcentral lists this ribosomal RNA (780 nucleotides) under uncultured Neocallimastigales. RNAcentral describes it as "partial large subunit ribosomal RNA". It matches the Rfam family "Eukaryotic large subunit ribosomal RNA", at positions 23 to 640 of the family's 3401-position model. Lineage: Eukaryota; Fungi; Neocallimastigomycota; Neocallimastigomycetes; Neocallimastigales. The record is from RNAcentral.